Molecule: transfer RNA, 16 nt
Filed under: Macaca nemestrina (pig-tailed macaque)
Lineage: Eukaryota; Metazoa; Chordata; Mammalia; Primates; Cercopithecidae
Description: partial tRNA-Lys
Source: RNAcentral
ACACCCUCUACAGUGA